Molecule: ribosomal RNA, 419 nt
Filed under: bacterium
Lineage: Bacteria
Description: partial 16S ribosomal RNA
Rfam family: Bacterial small subunit ribosomal RNA
Source: RNAcentral
UGGGGGAUAUUGCACAAUGGGCGAAAGCCUGAUGCAGCGACGCCGCGUGGGGGAUGAAGGCCUUCGGGUUGUAAACUUCUUUUGCUCGGAACAAGGCGCACCAUGGGGUGUGUUGAGUGUAGGGGUUGAUUAGCGCCGGCUAACUACGUGCCAGCAGCCGCGGUAAUACGUAGGGCGCGAGCGUUGUCGGGAAUUAUUGGGCGUAAAGGGCUUGUAGGUGGCUGGUUGCGUCUGUCGUGAAAGCUCAUGGCUUAACUGUGGGUUUGCGGUGGGUACGGGCUGGCUUGAGUGCAGUAGGGGAGGCUGGAAUUCCUGGUGUAGCGGUGGAAUGCGCAGAUAUCAGGAGGAAUACCGGUGGCGAAGGCGGGUCUCUGGGCUGUUACUGACACUGAGGAGCGAAAGCAUGGGGAGCGAACAGG